Molecule: long non-coding RNA, 973 nt
Organism: Platichthys flesus (European flounder)
Lineage: Eukaryota; Metazoa; Chordata; Actinopteri; Pleuronectiformes; Pleuronectidae
Exons: 3
Source: RefSeq, a predicted model, not a curated record
UAUAUUUGAUUGUUGUUGUGUUAUAGUGGAAAAUGUGUCUAAAUCAAAACAAUUCAUCCUCUGGGAACCAUGAGUAUAAACAAUAACUGUAUAAAGUUGUUAACACUUUGACAGAGUCACUGACACUUUGGUUUAUUCAUCAGAACAGAAAACACAACAAACUCUUUAUUCAUUUUUUAAAAUGUGGACGGACUCGUGUGAUUCUUCAGCUCGACGUUCCCUCAGAUGAGAGACGUGGAAGAUGAAGAUCUGCUGCCCAAGUUUCCACCUGACGCAGAUAUGGUCGGGCCUUGUUAUUGAGGAUCAGAAACUCGUCGACACGGUUUCUACUCGCAGCUCUGUGGAGAGGAAACAGCUGGAGAGAGAUGAACACUCAGGACAGAUGUUUUCAUUUCUUCUCCAUUGUACAGAUGUAGAUUAAUACAAAAUACUCGAUUCACUUUGAAUAGUCAAAUUAACCCUGAGUUACACUCUGGAUGAAAACACAAGUUCAUUUAAGGGUGUGAUAUUUUUCAUUAGAUCCAAUGAACUGUAACUAAAAACUGACGUAGACUCAGAGUCCAAGAAUUGAGAAGCUCCAAUAAACUGUUUACUCAUGAACAACCAGCAGGGGGCGACUCCACUGGUUGAUUCUACAGGAAAAUGUUUUAUAACGUCAGUAAACAUCUUCUUGGGGAGUUCAUGUCUCAGUCUCUAGUUUCAGGUCUUCUUCAGUGCAGCUGAAGUUCAUUUAGUAAGUUAUGAUCCAAUGUGGAUCCAAUGUGAUUGACAGCUGGUACCGUCCAAUGGGUGAGUCCCCCAGGAUAUGGUUAAACCAAGAUGGCGCUGGAAAGAAGACGUCUUCCACCUCUGGAGACAUUUUGGUUUUCUCUUGCUUGAUGUCCAUCUCAUGCUGAAGCUGCUUCCAUCAACGACAACCAGCACCACCAGCAGCACCACCAGCACCACCAGCAAAUACCUGCCCAGAACCGAG